Molecule: ribosomal RNA, 136 nt
Filed under: uncultured Methylocystis sp.
Lineage: Bacteria; Pseudomonadati; Pseudomonadota; Alphaproteobacteria; Hyphomicrobiales; Methylocystaceae
Description: partial 16S ribosomal RNA
Rfam family: Bacterial small subunit ribosomal RNA
Source: RNAcentral
AUGGGCGCAGCCUGAUCCAGCCAUGCCGCGUGAGUGAUGACGGCCCUAGGGUUGUAAAGCUCUUUCGCCAGGGACGAUAAUGACGGUACCUGGAUAAGAAGCCCCGGCUAACUUCGUGCCAGCAGCCGCGGUAAUA